Molecule: long non-coding RNA, 1018 nt
Organism: Bos indicus x Bos taurus (hybrid cattle)
Lineage: Eukaryota; Metazoa; Chordata; Mammalia; Artiodactyla; Bovidae
Source: Ensembl
GCCACAACUUGUCCUGAGGAAACGCCCAGUGUCCUUUACCAAAAAAUAUGUAAAGGGGCUCAUCUUCCAUGAAAGCAAUUCGCAAAAGAAAUAAGAGUUUCAAAAUAUACUCAGAGACCAAGUAAGGUUGUCCCCUCCGUGCCUCUAAAGGAUUAUUUCAAGUUUCCCAUGCUCAGUCUGUGUGCAUCCAGAAAGCUGUAACUUCUUGGCUGAGCUCAAGCUGAACUGAUAGGAACUCCUGGCUGAAAGAUUAACAAGAUAUUUACACUCAUUUUCACAGGGGAACCUCAACAAGGGUCGUUAGCAAAUGAUUUGUUUGGCUUUCUGGACUGAACCCCAGGAAAGUACAUAAAAAUGCUAAUUAGAUGUUAAGAGAACACAAGGAAUCCUUGAGAAAUCAUUGAGGUGGUCACCCUACUUUGGCAAAGCCUCAGAGUCAGUAGAUAAGUCUGCCUUAUAAAAGAGAUUCAGAGAAAUGAGUUGGCAAGACCCCCUUGGUGCCCUGUUACCAUGAGUUCUGUUAAAGGAAACCCUUCCUUACAAUGCACUAAGCCCCACCUCGAGCCUCUGUUGCUGUGUUCUGUUCUAGAGGCAGCAACACUCAAAUGACUGGUUUCCUUCUGUGUGUAGAUUGAGAAACACAGCAGGAUGAAUAAUAAAAGAUCCAGGAUAAAGUUGUGCUAGGAAACAAGAAACGGCAAAGACCCAGCGAUAAGAGCAGCCCACCACCUGCCAGGUCACGGAAGGCAAGAAUGCGAUGCUGCCCUCUGGAGCCCCCAAAGAGGUUGUCUGGGAAAUAAGAAAGCUCAGUCAGACAUCAUUCUUUUUUGUAGACAUAACUGAAAUUAGUGAAAGCCCGUGUCAUGAGCCAGAUGGGAGGAGAGAACCCCUGGGCACAGGCACCUCAUAGCGCCCAGUCCAUGUAAUUCUGUCUAAAUGGGUUGCCAACCAGCUCUCAUAUCAGCAAUAGAGUCUUUGUUCACACAGUAAUAAACUGAAGUGUACAAUUGAGUUUACA